This 468-nucleotide ribosomal RNA is filed under the name uncultured bacterium. Its description in RNAcentral is "partial 16S ribosomal RNA". It matches the Rfam family "Bacterial small subunit ribosomal RNA", at positions 28 to 507 of the family's 1533-position model. The record is from RNAcentral.
GACGAACGCUGGCGGCGUGCUUAACACAUGCAAGUCGAACGGUGAAGCUCCAGCUUGCUGGAGUGGAUGAGUGGCGAACGGGUGAGUAACACGUGAGCAACCUGCCCCUUACCGUGGGAUAACCGCUGGAAACGGCGGCUAAUACCGCAUACUAGAAGGGGCUGCAUGGGCUCUUUUUGAAAGGUUCAUCGGUUGGGGAUGGUCUCGCGGCCUAGCAGCUUGUGGGUGAGGUAAUGGCUCAGCAAGGCGAAGACGGCGAGCCGGACUGAGAGGGCGACCGGCCACACUGGGACUGAGACAGGGCCCAGACUCCUACGUGAGGCAGCGGUGGGGGAUAUUGCACAAUGGGCGGAAGCAUGAUGCAGCGACGCCGCGUGGGGGAUGACGGCUUUCGGGUUGUAAACCGCUUUCGGCUGGGAAGAAGCGAAAGUGACGGUACCUGCAGAAGAAGCACCGGCUAACUACGUG